RNAcentral lists this ribosomal RNA (456 nucleotides) under uncultured bacterium. RNAcentral describes it as "bacterial SSU rRNA". It matches the Rfam family "Bacterial small subunit ribosomal RNA", at positions 340 to 786 of the family's 1533-position model. The record is from RNAcentral.
UACGGAAGGCAGCAGUGGGGAAUAUUGCACAAUGGGCGCAAGCCUGAUGCAGCCAUGCCGCGUGUAUGAAGAAGGCCUUCGGGUUGUAAAGUACUUUCAGUCGUGAGGAAGGUGUUAAGGUUAAUAACCUUAGCAAUUGACGUUAGCGACAGAAGAAGCACCGGCUAACUCCGUGCCAGCAGCCGCGGUAAUACGGAGGGUGCGAGCGUUAAUCGGAAUUACUGGGCGUAAAGGGCACGCAGGCGGUUAAUUAAGUUGGAUGUGAAAUCCCCGGGCUUAACCUGGGAAUGGCAUUCAAGACUGGUUAGCUAGAGUCUUGUAGAGGGGGUAGAAUUCCAUGUGUAGCGGUGAAAUGCGUAGAGAUGUGGAGGAAUACCGGUGGCGAAGGCGGCCCCUGGACAAAAGGACUGACGCUCAUGUGCGAAAAGCGUGGGGAGCAAACAGGGAUUAGAUACC